AUUGAACGCUGGCGGCAUGCUUUACACAUGCAAGUCGAACGGCAGCGGGGAGGAGCUUGCUUCUCUGCCGGCGAGUGGCGAACGGGUGAGUAAUACAUCGGAACGUGUCGAGAAGAGGGGGAUAACCACCCGAAAGGGUGGCUAAUACCGCAUAAAUUCUGAGGAAGAAAGCUGGGGACCUGGGAAUAGGCCUAGCGCUUUUUGAGCGGCCGAUGUCGGAUUAGCUAGUUGGUGAGGUAAAGGCUCACCAAGGCGAAGAUCUGUAGCGGGUCUGAGAGGAGGAUCCGCCACACUGGGACUGAGACACGGCCCAGACUCCUACGGGAGGCAGCAGUGGGGAAUUUUGGACAAUGGGGGCAACCCUGAUCCAGCCAUGCCGCGUGUAUGAAGAAGGCCUUAGGGUUGUAAAGUACUUUUGUUAGGGAAGAAAAGUCAGCUGUGAAUAAUGGCUGAUACUGACGGUACCUAAAGAAUAAGCACCGGCUAACUACGUG
Molecule: ribosomal RNA, 494 nt
Filed under: uncultured bacterium
Lineage: Bacteria
Description: partial 16S ribosomal RNA
Rfam family: Bacterial small subunit ribosomal RNA
Source: RNAcentral